Molecule: ribosomal RNA, 1402 nt
Filed under: metagenome
Description: SSU rRNA
Rfam family: Eukaryotic small subunit ribosomal RNA
Source: RNAcentral
CCUGGUUGAUCCUGCCAGUAGUCAUAUGCUUGUCUAAAAGAUUAAGCCAUGCAUGUAUAAGCUAAAGCUGAUAAAUAGUGAAGCCGCGGACAGCUCAUUAAUACACUCAUAAUCUUCGCAAUGCAUCCAAUAUGGAUAUCUGUGCUAAUUUUAGAGCUAAUACACGCAAUCAAGCCCCUUAAUUGGGGAGCAUUUAUUAGAACAAAACCGAUCGGGGUCUCCCCGCUGUUGGUGAAUCUGAAUAACUGUGCAGAUCGCAGGUCUUUGUACCGGCGACACAUUGCAAGAGUGAGUGCCUUAUCAACUGUCGAUGGUAGUAUAUAUGCCUACCAUGGUUAUUACGGGUAACGGAGAAUUAGGGUUUGACUCCGGAGAGGCAGCCUGAGAGACGGCUACCAGUUCUAAGGAACGCAGCAGGCGCGCAAUUACACAAUGACAGUAAACUGUUGAUGUUGUGACAAGAGGUAACGGGGCGGUCCUCUAUGAGGCCCGUCAUUGUAUUGAGUAAAACUCAAAAUAUUUAACGAAACCAAUUGGAGGGCAAGUCUGGUGCCAGCAGCCGCGGUAAUUCCAGCUCCAAAAGCAUAUAUUAAAGUUGUUGCGGUUAAAAAGCUCGUAGUUGGAUCCAUGACCUCGGAGGGCGGUCCCCCACUGGGUGCGUACUGCUGCUCCGAGUCCUAUCUGUCAGUUUGUCUGUGUUGCCUUUAAUCGGGUGGCACAGGUGACUGACGUGUUUACUUUGAAAAAAAUUAGAGUGUUUAAAGCAGGCGUUGAAUGCCUGAAUAGUGGUGCAUGGAAUAAUGGAAUAGGAUCUCGGUUCUAUUUUGUUGGUUCAAGAGCAUGAGAAAAUGAUUAAGAGGGACAGACGGGGGCAUUUGUAUUGCUGCGUUAGAGGUGAAAUUCUUGGAUCGUAGCAAGACAAACUACUGCGAAGGCAUUUGCCAAGAAUGUUUUCAUUAAUCAAGAACGAAAGUUAGAGGUUCGAAGGCGAUCAGAUAUCGCCCUAGUUCUAACCGUAAACCAUGUCGACUAGCUAUCUGUCAGCGUAAUAAUGACCUGACAGGCAGCUUACCGGAAACGAAAGUUUCUCGAUUCCGGGGGUAGUAUGGUUGCAAAGCUGAAACUUAAAGGAAUUGACGGAAGGGCACCACCAGGAGUGGAGCCUGCGGCUUAAUUUGACCCAACACGGGAAAACUCACCCGGCCCGGACACCGUAAGGAUUGACAGAUUAAUAGCUCUUUCUCGAUUUGGUGAUUGGUGGUGCAUGGCCGUUCUUAGUUGGUGGAGCGAUUUGUCUGGUUAAUUCCGAUAACGAACGAGAUUCUAACUUACUAACUAGUUCCACGAUCCUUGUGGUCCUAAAUACUUCUUAGAGGGAAAACCGGCAUUUAGUCGAACGAGA